This is a small nuclear RNA of Microtus ochrogaster (prairie vole), 161 nucleotides long. Its record names the gene U1. It matches the Rfam family "U1 spliceosomal RNA". Rfam says of the family: U1 is a small nuclear RNA (snRNA) component of the spliceosome (involved in pre-mRNA splicing). Its 5' end forms complementary base pairs with the 5' splice junction, thus defining the 5' donor site of an intron. Lineage: Eukaryota; Metazoa; Chordata; Mammalia; Rodentia; Cricetidae. The record is from Ensembl.
GUACUUAACCAGCUAGGAACACCAUGAUCACGAAGGUGGUUUUCCCGGGACCAGGUGUCUCCAUUGCACUCCAGGUGUGCUGACCCCUGCGAGUUCCCAAAAUGGAGGAAACUCCACUGCAAAAUAUAUGAUAGUGAGGAACUGCGUUUGUGCUUUCAUCU